This 460-nucleotide ribosomal RNA is filed under the name uncultured Nitrospira sp. Its description in RNAcentral is "bacterial SSU rRNA". It matches the Rfam family "Bacterial small subunit ribosomal RNA", at positions 335 to 797 of the family's 1533-position model. Lineage: Bacteria; Pseudomonadati; Nitrospirota; Nitrospiria; Nitrospirales; Nitrospiraceae. The record is from RNAcentral.
UGGCCUACGGGAGGCUGCAGUAAGGAAUAUUGCGCAAUGGACGAAAGUCUGACGCAGCGACGCCGCGUGGGGGAUGAAGGUCUUCGGAUUGUAAACCCCUUUCGGGAGGGAAGAUGGAGUGGGUAACCACUUGGACGGUACCUCCAGAAGCAGCCACGGCUAACUUCGUGCCAGCAGCCGCGGUAAUACGAAGGUGGCAAGCGUUGUUCGGAUUCACUGGGCGUACAGGGAGCGUAGGCGGUUAGGUAAGCCCUCCGUGAAAUGUCCGGGCCUAACCCGGAAAGUGCAGAGGGGACUGCUUGGCUAGAGGAUGGGAGAGGAGCGCGGAAUUCCCGGUGUAGCGGUGAAAUGCGUAGAGAUCGGGAGGAAGGCCGGUGGCGAAGGCGGCGCUCUGGAACAUUACUGACGCUGAGGCUCGAAAGCGUGGGGAGCAAACAGGAUUAGAUACCCUGGUAGUCUA